RNAcentral lists this long non-coding RNA (226 nucleotides) under Hordeum vulgare. RNAcentral describes it as "long non-coding RNA (HVUL_LNC001863)". The record is from RNAcentral. Lineage: Eukaryota; Viridiplantae; Streptophyta; Magnoliopsida; Poales; Poaceae.
CGUUAGACAAAUCGGUAGUGUCCUAAGAUCGAUUUCAUCGUCCGAUGACCCAUUUAGGGGAUAUUUGGCCCGUUUGACAAGGAAACAUCCGCACCAUAUGGAUCUUCACCUCAACAUUGUAUGCAACUACGCAAGGCCUAAUAUUCUACAAAACUUCUUCUUCUCAACCAAUCCAAUCAGUCUCUCCCGUGGGGCUUGUCCGUUUCGUGAUUUCUCCCACAUCGUG